GAUCAUUAUCGUACAACGGAGGUGUCAGGGCUGUCGCUGACCUUCAAAGGUCGUGCACGCCCGGGCGCUCUCACACAAUCCAUCUCACCCCUUUGUGCAUCACCGCGUGGGUCCUUCCCUUUGCGGGGGAGGGCCUGCGUUUUCACAUAAAACCCCAUACUGUGUAGAGUGUUUAUUUUUGCGGUCAUACGCAAUCAAUACAACUUUCAACAACGGAUCUCUUGGCUCUCGCAUCGAUGAAGAACGCAGCGAAAUGCGAUACGUAAUGUGAAUUGCAGAAUUCAGUGAAUCAUCGAAUCUUUGAACGCACCUUGCGCCCCUUGGCAUUCCGAGGGGCACACCCGUUUGAGUGUCGUGAAAUCCUCAAAACCCCUUUUUCUUUGACAAGAAAAGGGGUUUUGGACUUGGAGGUUCAAUGCUCGCUUUCGACUCCGGAAGCGAGCUCCUCUCAAAUGAAUCAGUGGGGUCCGCUUUGCUGGUCCUUGACGUGAUAACCUACUUCUACGUUUUGGAUCUGGCACUGUCCCUUGGAUGCCCGCUUCCAACCGUCUCAUUGACAAUGAUGGCGCUCCGGUCGCCCGCCACAUACACUGGCGGGAGGCUUGACCCACGACAAAAAACCUUGACCUCAAAUCGGGUGAGACUACCCGCUGAACUUAAGCAUAUCAAUAAGC
RNAcentral lists this ribosomal RNA (674 nucleotides) under Russulaceae sp. #3 MAS-2010. Its description in RNAcentral is "eukaryotic LSU rRNA". The stretch from base 202 to 355 matches the Rfam family "5.8S ribosomal RNA". The record is from RNAcentral. Lineage: Eukaryota; Fungi; Basidiomycota; Agaricomycetes; Russulales; Russulaceae.